AAAAGGGGUUUCUGACCUGAGGGCACACAUAGGGCAACUAACUUGCUCUUUGUAUAGAAUCAACAUCAAGAGUUUCGGAGCAUAAUUUAUUGACAGUAGGGCAGCUGUUGGUCCUGGAGGUCCUCACACAA
Sorex araneus (European shrew) is the source of this 131-nucleotide small nuclear RNA. RefSeq annotates it as U11 spliceosomal RNA. NCBI's taxonomy places the organism in Eukaryota, Metazoa, Chordata, Mammalia, Eulipotyphla, Soricidae. The transcript has a single exon. The record is from RefSeq and is a predicted model, not a curated record.